CUCGACGAUUUGAAACGUUUGUGUAACACAUUGGAUGUUGGACAAGAAAUCAUUGAUUGGAAACGAAAUGAGUGCGAGUCCACCAUUCGUUUCAUCAAUGACACCAUUGUAGCGGUUGAAGGCUCAUGUCAGUUAGAAAUGAAAUUGGAAAAAUUAACGUGUAAGCUGAGACAGCAACAUUUCCAAGCAGGACGAAACUAUUUUGGCCGAUAUUCAAAUUCUAUUAGACAAGAUAUUUGCGUAUUGAUUUGCAGGUUUUAUUCAUUUUAUUUUAUAUUCAUCAUUCCAGGCACAUAAAUGUAAAAAAGCGCCAGUUCUGAUGAAGAUGAUCGAGACUUUAGUCAAUCUCUCAACUGGAUACUACUACAUUAGUGCACCAAAUGAAAAGGAAAAUUGGUUCAUGGCCGACAAAUAUUGCAAAUCAAAUGGAAUGGAGCUGGCAAGCAUUGAGAAAGCAGACGAAAAUCGAGCUCUUAUCACAGCUUUAGGUGAUGGAAAUGAUCGAUUUUGGCUUUCUGGCACAGAUUUAGGCUCCGAGGGCAAUUUUUAUUGGUCCAGUAAUGCGAAGCUGCUGAAAACUUUUAGUGAUUUUGAAACAGCCCAACCAGAUAAUUUGGAUGGAAAAGAGCAUUGCAUUCAGUUCAGAAGAAGUCGAGAUGAGAGAAAACUGAAAUACAAGUGGAAUGAUGACAUUUGCAAAAACAGAAAUCGAUUCAUCUGUGAGCUGGAAUCUAACAAAUUAUUUAAAUCGAUUUAAACAAAGUAAUAAAAAAACUAAAUUUAUUGCA
Cloeon dipterum is the source of this 788-nucleotide long non-coding RNA. RefSeq lists it as uncharacterized. The transcript is spliced from 5 exons. Lineage: Eukaryota; Metazoa; Arthropoda; Insecta; Ephemeroptera; Baetidae. The record is from RefSeq and is a predicted model, not a curated record.